RNAcentral lists this ribosomal RNA (754 nucleotides) under uncultured fungus. Its description in RNAcentral is "LSU rRNA". It matches the Rfam family "Eukaryotic large subunit ribosomal RNA", at positions 23 to 664 of the family's 3401-position model. Lineage: Eukaryota; Fungi. The record is from RNAcentral.
ACCCGCUGAACUUAAGCAUAUCAAUAAGCGGAGGAAAAGAAAAUAACAAUGAUUCCCCUAGUAACGGCGAGUGAAGAGGGAAGUAGCCCAAGCUGAAAAGCUGGCGGAUUAACAGUCUACCCGCAUUGUAGCCUAAGGAUAGGAUCGUUCUAUCUUGGUGGCCCAGGUACAAAUCCUUUGGAACAAGGUAUCAUAGAGGGUGAGAAUCCCGUCCUUGACCUGGUUGCUGCUUUGGUAGUGGUCUUCAUCCGCGAGUCAGGUUGUUUGGGAAUGCAGCCCUAAUGGGAGGUAAAUUCCUCCUAAGGCUAAAUAUUGGGGAGAAAUCGAUAGCAAACAAGUACCGUGAGGGAAAGGUGAAAAGAACUUUGAAAAGAGAGUUAAAUAGUACGUGAAAUUGUCGAAAGGGAAACGAUUGACAUACAGCCAUACGAGUCGGAAAUCAGCCGGGUAAUCUUACCCGGUGCACUUUUCGGCUUGUAGGCCAGCAGCAGUUUCGACCGUUGGAAAUAGGUAGAGGAAAGGUAGCUCACCUCGGUGAGUGUUAUAGUCCUCUAUUUGUACAAUGGUUGGGACUGAGGAACGCAGCUCGCCUCUCCUCGGAGAGGGUGGUAAAGUAGAUUCGGCUGGACUCGAACGGUUGGGGCUACAAAGGCUUGUACUUUGUACCCUACGGUCGGGGCCACUCGGGUUUGCUUCUUCCUACGGGCUAAGGUUGCUGGCAUAAUGAUGUUAACCGACCCGUCUUGAAACACGG